AGUCACUCAUCAAGAAAAAAUGAAUUGGGCAGAGUGACUCACCAGCCCAGAAGGAGAAGAAGGUUACAACUUGCAGUAGUGACAUGUUGUCUGCCAGCUGUGUACUCAAGAAGUGGGGACCUGGUGUCUGGAUGUCUCAGGUCAGUGACAGGAGGGUGUGACCUGAACUUGGGUGAGGAAAGGAAUUAGUGGGUUGGGUGAUUCUUGGGCCCUUCAGUACUGGCUUCAGACUGAACAUUGUGCCCAGCAGGCUUGCCCUGUACAUAUUGAAAUAGGGCUGAUGGUCAUAGGGCUCUUUGCAUGAAUGUGAGAACAGGAAGGUGCCCUAGCUUCAAGGGAAGUGCCCAGGAGAUAUUUUAUGAACUCCUUUUCUCUACAUCCCAUUUUUGCAUAUUACAUAUUUAAUAAAUAUUAAUUUUAAUUGUAUCAAAUAUUCAAUAAACAUUUAUUUAGCUUUAAAAAAAUGUUCUCCACCUUUAUAGCCACCACAAUAAUCAGUAUAGACACUUGUAGUUGCAUUAUAUAGAUGAGGAUACAGACUGCUGAAUGGACUUCACAAACUCACAUAGUUGAAAAGCAGAGCAUGCUGGCAAAUAUACUCAUGAAGAAACUCAGAGAAACAAAAUGAAGAUAAAAAUGACAACAUCCAUGAUCAGAUCAUGAAGGACAACAGCUAUAAUCAUUAUGGUUUUUUAAUUUCCAGAUUUUUUUAUUUGCAGAUACAUUGAUAGGAAUAUGUUUCCAUGAACUACAAAUAUAUUUAUAUGUACAGAAUUUUGAUUUCUUUAUUCAGUUCAUCAAGUAUUCUGAAAAACUUCCCAUAGCACUGAGGCAUUUUUUGAUGUCUACAACUAUUAAUGGUCUAUGUUUAUCAUUUAGGACCUGUCUGUCUUGUGAAAAUUUCCUCAUCCCUUUAAGCCUCACAUACUUCCUCUGAAAAUGGCUGCAAUAAUUAUACAUAUAUCGAAAUUUUAUGCAAAUUUAAUAAAGCAUAUUGAUGGUUUCUGAGAUAUAGUAAAUUUCUAUUGUUUAUAAUUAUCACUAUUACAUUUUAAAAUUUAACCUCCUCUUCCUUUCAACCAUUUCAUUUUCUCUCAGCUUUCACCUGUUGAAAAUUUUGGUGAUUAAUUUGAAGUUGUAACCUGGGUAAAUCAAGGAAAAUCACUAAAUAUCGUUAACAUAUUUUUCCACUUUGGGGAGCUUCUCUUUACUCUGUUCUUUCCUAAACCAACUUCAUCAUGGUUUCCAUAUGGUUUCCUACAUAAUCUAAGUGCAUCAGGGCUCCUGUAGCCCCAGACAGUGAUCAUAAGUGACACUGUGUCACCCCUGUCAGGUCCCACAUUCAGCAGGUAUGAAUACAGGUCCCACAGCUCCUACAGAGGAGAAAGGAGAACCCCUCUGGCUCAGAUAGCUGCAUCUUCCUUCUGAGGCCCUGUUUUCCCUCUUUUCCAAUAAAUAUCAUUUCUGAGGUGCUCAACACUGGAAGCCCUAGGCCAGAAGUCCCAUGGGGUACCAUUAGAAGGGCUGGCUGAACAUUCACACAGGUAUUUGUCUCCAGUAGAGAAAGUAGAAAAGAAGUGGAGGCUGUUGCCUGAGUCAGUCUGUGGGCCCUGGGUGCUGUUAAGACUUGGGCUGCCCUUGCCACCCUGGAACCCACUAGGAGUCGGGUAUCAUCCUUUUAGUCAUCUUUCUGCUACUCACUGUCCUCAGCAGCAUCCAGCACUUUGCUCUGUGUCAUCUGGGAUUUGGACUCCCCCUCUGAAUCUGCUGGUGCACUAACAGACCUGAACUCAUCACUGUUGACUCCACACCAAGCCCUUGGGGUGCAAAGCUUCCCCCUGCAGCUUGUCAUCCAAAUCUUAUUCAAUAUGUUCCCUGACACUCUCAGUACCUCUGUAACCUAUUAGAAACCCUGAAAGGCAUUUAGAUCUCCUCUAUAAACACUUGUGCAGAAAAUAGUGCUGGGUUGGGCUCAUAUUUGUUUAUACCUGCCUCUGUUGGUGAAGUUCUACCCUGGCAGUAUUGGAGGAGCUCAACAUCAUCUGAAACUCUCAGAUUCUCCCCAGGUCUAUCUUGAGUUCUGUUAGUGUUUCUACCUCUUCUGGGCUAGGACACUCAGGUUAUGCGGAACAGGAAUGGCCUUCACACAAUUCUUUGCCUCUCUUAACUCUUCCUAUAAUCUCACAGAAAUUCCCAGCAGGAAAUGCCACCCUUUCCUCUGGGUGAAUGCUGAUUUCAUACCCUGAGUUUUCCUUAUAUAAUACCUCUUAUAAAAUUCUCAUCUUAGUUUCCAAGCUUGUCUUCUGACUUAUAAAUGCAGAUUCAUCAUUAGAAGAUAGCAUUUGCUUUGGGCUGAGGAUGUGGCUCAAGCGGUAGCGCACUCGGCUGGCAUGCUUGGGGUCCUGGGUUUGAUCCUCAGCACCACAUAAAAAUAAAAUAAAGACGUUGUGUCCACCGAAAACUAAAAAAUAAAUAUUAAAAAAUUCUCUCUCUUUCUCAAAAAAAAAAAAAAAAGAAAGAAAAUAGCAUUUGCUUUAAACUUAUCUGGUCUUGAAGCCUACUCUCUUACAAUAAACUCAAAAGUAAGUUUGUUUUAGUCACAUCUACAAUCUCCUUCCAUGGGUUUUAAAUCUCAGGGUUUAGCUGGGGAUGUGGCUCAGUGAUGGAGCAUAUUUGCCUGGCAUAUGUGAGGCCCGGGGUUCAUUCUCCAGCACAAUCAAUCAAUCAAUCAAUCAUUAUCUCAUUGUUCAGUUUUAAUAAAGAAAGUGCAAUAGGAGACAAAAUGUAAAGGAGAGAAUGAAAAUAUGGUCAAUAUCUAUUUCUAAGACUUGAUCCUCAUUACUCAUUUUGAUCACUUGCUUGAGUCCUGGCUUUGUGGUUUUAAUAUUUCUCCAUGUAGCCCACCCAUGACAUUUUAUGCUAAACCAAAUUCAUGAACUUAACUGAUAAGAUAAGUGGCUUUCAUAGUCUUUUCCUCUCUGGCAUGGAAAAGGGUCUUGGGGCAGAAUAUUCAGGACUGGAUCUCUUCCUGAUGUGUGCCCAAAGUGAAACUCAGCCAUGAUUUCCUGGGCAACUACUCCGUCUGUCCUAGCUGGGCUGGGCUUGGGUAGGCAGUAAAUCUGGACAAGUCACAUUUACUCUUAAACUCCACAGUAUGUUCUUGUGAUGUUAGUAACCUAUGAAGAUAUUUGAAAUGGCCCAAUUGUGCAAACUGAAACACAGUGACCACCUCUAAUUAGUAGUUAUUUUUUCUAGGAAUAAUUCUAUUUUCAGGGGAUUUAUGAUGAUUCCCUGAGAUUCGGAACACAUUUAAAACAUCUAACACACACUAUGAGGCACCAAUGGGAGCGCUGUUCCUUCCCAGCACUUUUAUCCUGAGUUUUUCAUCAUUACUAGAAAUCUCAGGGAAAUGGAUUAGUGGUAUUUGCCUUCUCUCUGAGAUGGUCAGGCAGUUUCAACAUACUCAUUGUCUACAUAUGAAACCAACUCAGCAGGCAAUUAUGCAAAACCAGACAUUAGGGGCACAGUUACCAGCAUCUGAGGGUGCAGUUGAUAGUCAUCAGACUCUCUUUCCUGUUUCCUCUAUAGGAAGGCCUCAACCUAAGGAGGACAGGAAGUGCUGCAGGCUGGGGCUGAGGCCUAGCAGGGCUCAGGGCUGAAGGAGGCAGCUCCAUGUUGGGGAGCAGGUAGUCACAGACAUAUUGAGGGGUGGGUAUGCUCAUUAUUUUAGCUCUAAUGACAUAGUUUCAGAGGCUAUAAUAUUAGGUCAUAAUGUCUUACUUUUCUGUGAAUUUUAUUUUGAAUACCAAAAGGAAGCAGACAGAAUAUAUACUUCAUGAAUGGAAUUAUUUGCUUAUAACCGACCUUAAAUAAAAAUUUCUUUUCUCCCCAAGUAAAUAUCAAAUCCUCAAAAACACUGUUUGGAGUUUGUCAGUACCAAAAUGUGUAUGAAAAAUUAUGCCUGGAUAACAGGCAGUGAAAUAUAUGCUUCCUUUCUGUUACUGAAAUAAUAUUUUCACUUGUUUUCAUUGUAUUUAUUCAAUUUCAACAAUAAUAUUUCCAACAAAACAAAAAUUAUCAAGAGAAAAGCAUUCAUUUUAUGAAUAUCCAUUAAUCAAUCUGAGAAAUAGGAAAAAAAUCAUAUUUCUGGAGCGACAAGCAGAUGAACGUUGUAGCUAUAACAUCUUGCCUUUUACACUGUGUGCCAAAGGAUAAGACUGAGGAGGUGGGAUACUGAAGCAAAGUAGUCGACAUACCAGGAUGUAGGGGAAGGAGUCCUAGAGUGUAAGAAGUGAAAAUAGGUAUCUCAGACCCCUCCGCCCAGAUCCAUUCUUUCUAUAAGACUUUUCUAUAGGACACCAAAAUAAUCAGUCCAUUUACAUUCUAGGUUUUAGGGUGCUUUCUUUUUAUAAUUGAUGUUUUAUCAACAUUAUUUAAUGGAUAUCAGGGAAAAGUUGGAUUAAGUUAAAAAGUCUGCCAUGACCUGAAGGCACCUGUGGACUUCUCCAGGUGAGGCCAUCACUGGUCAUUGUGUACACCAAACCCUCACAACAAAGGUCAAACCCACCCAUGACUCUCACAUAGGGUUCUGCUCUGGACUCACAUUGGCUCCAGCAUCUGGUGAAUCCUUUUUGGUGUGAAUGUGGGAAGCACUUAUUCCCUCCUUCCUCCCUGGGAGGGGAGGACGUUGCCAUGGCACUCCCAACAGGGCUUUUUAGAGAAAGUUUACACAGAUAUUGUCCCCCCAAAUUCUCUAAGCUCCUCUUACAUUCAGUAUUGACAUAGCUCAUGAGCCAAUGGUUGGGGUCAACAAUGUUUUUUCCAUCACUUAGCAUGUCCUUGGGAAAUGUAUUUAGUCCAGGUUUUCUCAACCUCUGCAUUGUUGACAUUUAAGGCCAUAUAGUCUUUGGUCAUGGUAGAAGAGAGGGAAGCAGUCUUAUGAACUGUAGGAUAUUUAGUAGCAUCUGUGGCCUCUACCAGCCACAUACCAGUAGUGUUCCCCCCACACUUCUGUGACUACCAAAAAUAUCCUCAGACAUUGCCAAUGCACCCUGGAGAGGGGAUUGCCCUCAGGUGAAAACUAGUGCUGUUUUAAGAAACACAUAAAACUGAUUAUUAUUAUUUUUUAAUUUAGCUCUCAGCCAAGAUGUGAGCAAAAUGAAAUUUCCACUAAAUUCCAAUAUGAAAAAAAUCUCAUGUUAUUAGCUCAUGAGCAAAAUCAUUUACUCUUAUUUGUACAAUGUCUUUUAUUGAGGAAUAGGAGUGGACAUAAUGAUAAUUCUAUCACUUAGCAGAUAGCACUGCUGCCUUGCUUCACCAAUUGUUGCCUGUUACUUUCAUAUACUUGAUAAUAAAUUCCUUUUUUUGACAUCAGCCUAUGAUUUUUAGUGAUUAUUAAAUCUUUUUCAUAAGUAAACCACAAUACCUUCCAUAUAGUGAGAGCUCCAUAAAUAUUGUCUAUCAUUUAGAGAUAAUUUUUCUAGAGAUCUAAUUGGAAUGAGUGAAAAAUGUUAAAAUAAAACCACAAUCCUUUACUUUUAUGUGGUGGUUAAAAUUUCCAAAAGAUGUCUAUGGUCAUUGGCUUAUUCUACCCAAUCAAUGAUAUUUUAAAUCCAGAGAGAGAGUCCCAGAGGGAAUAAGCUAGUAAAUGGUAGAGCUGGAAACUCUAUUCCAUUUCUGCACACCAAGUCAACUUGGUGGACCACAAAAGGGAGCAUGAAACUAUCCACUCCAGCUUCUCUUUCCAAUUCUGCCUGUUACUAGCUUAACUUGGUUCUGUCUGACACUCAGUGACCUCAACUAUGAAAGUGAAAUAAGCACAUCUGUCCCUCAGCAUCAUUUUAAGAAAGGAACUGGGCACAGAACAGAGCAUAACACUGAAGCUCAGUGGAUUCUGUAUCCUUUCCAUUCUUCCUCCUCCCUCUUCUGCCUCCUUGUUGAAGCAGGAUCAGCACAGAGCUACUGUUGUGACUACCAUUUGGGAUUGGGACCCUUAUCUUUAUAUAAUCUUAGUUCCUUGACUUAAAUCACAUCAAUAGCCCCUCCAGAGGGAAGAGGCACUGUGGGGUACUCAGCUUUGCUCUCCUGGUAGAUGCCCUGGGGGAUGGAGCCUCAUGGUCAAGAUCCUGAGCAGCCACCUCCCCUUCUUUCUUCAGAGACACCCCUAUAGCCCACCUCUUUCCAGAGAUGGUCAAGGAUGGGAAUGACUGUAAUGUCCUAUUUGUUCUGUGGCUGAGAAAAAUAAUUAAUACAAAGAUAUGAUUAAAAAUAAUAAAGAUCUACAAUAUUUGAAAUUUGAGGAAGUUUUUUUUUUCCAAGACAGGUUCUUUCAUCAUGUGAAAUAAUUUGAUGGAAAAACCACUGAAUGCAUUCUUCUUACUAUUUCUACUGGGUUGUGUGAUAAAAGUGGAUGUUUAUUUCUUUUAUUUGGCAGUACCUUUAUUGGAAUCUCUGGCGCCAUGAAGCCUACCCUAUGACCCAUUCAUUUCUGCUUUCUCAGGAAACUUGGAUCAUAAUGAAAUCAAGGAAUCAUUAGUUUAUUUUUUUUCCUCCUUUGAGGUACAGAGUGAUAACAGAGUUCUAUUCCUGGCAUUACUUACCCAAACAUUCAAGCCAUUUGAUUGCUUAAUUAUUUGUGAAUAGUAAAUCUCUCAACUUCAACACUUUUCAUUAACCAGUCAAAUUUCCUACUUGGGUACAUUUUUGUAGGAAUGCAAUCUGCAGUCUGACCUUCACGAACAGAAAAGUCUAAUCUUAGUUCUCUUCUUUGCACUGGAUUCCAGGUCUUGCUGGUUCAGUGUAGUGUGAUGGGAAUGGCAAGUUUUAAUGAUGGUUAUACAUGGCUCUAAAUCUCUUCCCUGCUGCUGGCAAUGUCUGCAGGAUCUUGGAUGCUGCAAACUCUAUGUUUUCACCACACCCCUCAUCUAUUAGAGGUGGACAAUAAUAUCUAAGUCAGAAAAACUAUGUAAAGCUCAGGAUCUGACAUCUGCUUGGUCCUAAGCCCCUGCCAGUCCCUCCCUGGAUAGUUGUACAGGAAGCAGAAUGGAAUGUGACCUUCUCAGGGAAGACUGUGGUUUUGUCUAGUUCGAACUUUAUUUCCCAUCCAUGUUGGAAAAUAUUUCUGUGCUUCCUAGCAGGUUAACUGUGGGAAUUGCAGUGUCAAAGCUUAUAAAGGUUCAUAUCUUUGUGUUCCAUCUUGACAAACUUCUGAUGCUCAAUAAACAGUUUUUUGUUGUGCCCUUUUUCCUUGUUUAAAUAUAGAUCAUUAGAACUUCAAUGUGAGAAAAAAAAUGAUUGCAUAAUAAAUUUAUCUGCAGAUUGUUUCUAAGUAAACAUUGUAUUUAAACAGUUUAAAUGCUUUAAUGUAGCCCUGGAGAAUGGAGCUUAAGAACACAGUUCAAGAAAGAAAUCAUAAUGUGAGUGGAAAAAUUCUUUGAUUUCUCCCAAAAUGUCUCCAUUCAAAAGUACUUUUUUUGCAAAUCACUCUGCAAUCCAUGCAGUAGAGUGUGAAUCAGACAGAACUGGGCUUAAAUACCAGCUAUCAAGUCACUUACUUGAUUAAAGUAUCAAAUUUAUAACUGUAAGAUAUUAAUAAUAUUGAGAUAAUAACAAUAGAAAGCUUUUAUUUUUAUAAAAGUUUUUUUAUUUGUGUCGUAGUGUUGUGGGGCAGGUCAUUCAGAAAACACACCAAGUCCCAGUUUUGUCCAAAUCAAAGAGCUGGCCAGCCAGCGACUGCUUUUCAUAACUGUCGCUUCAAGGAGACUGAGCAUUUUAGAAUAUUUAAAGGCAAAAAAACCACACCUGGGUUGACAUAACUGCAAACAAGCAGAUACAGAGACAAUUGGACAGUUAGUGAGACAAUGCGAUGGGGACAUUGGUGUUUCCCAUGGGACUUUCCAGGGUGGUAUAGCAGCAAGUAAGCAGAAGGGAAGUGGUCAAAAUGACCCCAGUUCAGUACAAGUGAGAGAAUGGUUACUAAUGUCUAAACAAUCAAUCUCUGACAAGGUACAUUGCCCAAGAAAAAUGGAAACCAAAGAGAAUAAUUUUACAUUGUGUAAGAAUUGCUAUUUUGUGUUGCCCAGUAUGUUAUGCUAGGUAACUAUUAAUGGGUACAGAGGUGGGGCUUUCCCGGAGAAGCGUUUCUUACAUAAUAUGAAGUUUCAGGGUAAAAUGGAGUCUGUUUGGUCAUUGUCUAUAUAGCCUGGCCCAUAACAGUAGAAUAUGUUUAUGCACUUUGAUAUGUCAUACAUAGAUGGCAUAUAAUUUCUCAUUUUUCAGUGUACACAUUGUAGAAUUAUAUUGUUCAUGCAGUCUCAUAUAUACAUAAAGAAAUAAUGUCUGUUUCAUUCUACUAUCCUUCCUAUCCCCAUAUGCCCUGAACUCCCCUCCCUUUACUUCUCUCCACCUAUCUAACGCUAUUCUUCUCUACUGCCUCCCUCCUUAUUGUGAAUUAGCAUCCGCAUAUUAGAGAAAACAUUCAGCCUUUGGUUUUUGGGGAUUGGCAUAUUUUGUUUAGCAUGGUAUUCUCCAACUCUAUCCAUUUAUUGGAAAAUGCCAUAAUUGCAUUCUUCUUUAGAGCUGAGUCAUAGUCCAUUGAAUAUAUACAAUAUUUCUUUAUCCAUUCAUCUAUUGAAGGACACUUAGGUUGGUUCCAUACUUUGCUUAUUUUGAAUUGAGCUGCUAUAAACAUUAGAAUUAAGUAUAUAAAUUGCUUCCUAUUGUGCCUAGCACGUAAGUGCUAUUAUUAUUAUAAUCUUAUCAGAACUUUUAUUAAAAUUUUUAUUUUCCUAUAGAACUAAGGUCCUUGAGAAAAUACUCUGUUUAUUCAAUCCUGUGCACAUAAACUGGCUAACUUAUAGGUGUUCUUUGUUAUUGUUGUUUUGUUAUGCCAUUGUCUUUUUGGUUUAGUUGAUUUGUUUUUAGUAUUUUUUUUUACUAAGCAAAGAAAAUAAGAGCCCAAUCUAGACUACAAAUUUUCUAUACAUAAGUAUAAAUUUUGGUAAUUAUUCUGCAAUUUUAUGUGAACAAAAUAAAGGCAACAGGACCACAGUAGAAUACUAAUGAUUAGCAUUUAAUUAAAAUACUGAAAAUGUGACUUAGAAGUGCCAAGAAAGUGGAUUAAAUCCACAGAAGAGACAGAUCCAUUUUAGCAAUAGUAGAAUUGGAUUUUAGAUGAAUGCAUCAGGCACUCCUCUCCCUCAACAGGUAAGUAAAAUUUGGAUUGUUUUGCCACCCUGCCCUUAUCUAUGGUUUUAAAGAACAUCAAGCUCAGUGAUAGAGCACUCACCCAACAUUGGUAAUGUCCUGAAUUUAGUCCCAAGCACUGCAAACAAAUAAACACAAUAUAUUAAGUGCAUGGAAUUGGAUUUAUCAUAAUAUUGGUUCACAAAGCACAGUAAACAUUCAUCUAAAUAUAGAUCUCUUGUAUUAUUGAUCUUAUUCUACCUAUGUGUCAGAGAUUUACUUAACAAAUCCACAAAUAUCUGAGAUAAGAAUCCAUCACAUAACACAAGAAUAAUUACAUUACAAGUGUUCUACAUGAUCCUCUCUAUUUUGAUAGGCGAUUGAGCCACUGCAGCCUGAUCUCCUCACCUGUAAACAAAGGUCUUGCAAUUACCACAUAUUUUUUAAAAAUAAAAAAUAAAUGUUUGCUAUUAGACAGUUUAGAGACUAUGAAAAAUAAAAGAAAAAAAUUCAUGAAAUUCUCAAAAGAAGAGAAUUUAAUGAUACUCCCUCAAGACUUGCGGAGGUUCCUGUGUAUCACUCAAGGAACGGCCACACAUCCUGUUAUGUUAGAGGUGAGAUCGUGGUGGCUUUGUGGAAAGUGAAGUGAACGCUGUUGGAUAAAUUUGUCUUCCUGCUUUCAGAGUGCUGUGCUCACUGGGGGAUAAGCCUCACCUACUUCUUUGGCAUCUGCUUUGUGUCUUCUCUGCUCCUCCAGAUCCACUCUCCACCUCUCUCCACCCUCCCCACUCCUUAAGGGUCAGACCCAUGGGCUGCAUUAAUAGUUCCUUGUUGUCUGAGUGAUCUUAGGGACCAGCCAAAGGAAGCACCAGUAGAGGACUAGGAAGAGGGAGAGGGGUGAAGCCAGGGUUCCCUCCCUGACAAGUGGCCUUGAGUUGAUUGCAUCUUCCCCAGUGGCCAAGAUAUAGUGGCAUUCACCCCAUGGCCAGAAGCUUCAUGUCCAGGAUCCAAGAGGUGGAGCUAGGAAAGCCCAUUCUCUUCCACAUCAGUUAGCCAACUUGAGGAGUCUGUGGAUUUUUCCACUGGCACCUGAAUCCACAGGCUUGAAAUCCCAGGUCCCAAGGAGAUGCACAAGCCCACUAAGCUACUCUGAGCACCCAAAGUGUCAGCAUUGUCUCUAACUUGUCAGAUUCUAUCAGUAGGAAUGAGGAGAAAAGGCAUAGUUUAUUUAUUAAAAGAAGGGUCUGUUUUUAAAAAAGAAGAAAAAUUAGUGGCCAAGCAGAGCCCAUCCUAGGCUUUUAGGUGUUCUCUAAGUGCUAAGUAAUAUGUAGAGAGAGUUUCAUCAUGAAGCAUAUGAAUUCUUUUAAAAAGUAAAUUUUAAAAUAAUAUUUUUAAGAGAUAAAUGUGGAUGCUAAUUCACAAUGGGAGAGGCUAAGGAAGAAUAGAGUUACUUUAGAUUAGGUAGAGAGGAGUGAAGGGAGUCCAGGGGGUAUGGAGGUAGGAAGGAUAGUAGAAUGAAUCAGACAUUAUCACCCUAUGUACAUAUAUAACUAUAUGACCAGUGUGAUUCUACAUCAUGUACAACCAAAAGAAUGAGAAAUUUUGAUGUGAUGUAUCAAACUGCAUUCUACUGCCAUGUAUAGCUAGUUAAAACAAGUUUUAAAAAAUUUAAAAAUAAAAAAAUAAAUGUUUGCUGUUAGUUUAGAGACUACAAAAAUGAAAGAAAAAAUAAUCAUGUGUUCAUAAGGUCAGCAUCUAGAGAUGUCCACUCCCAAGUCUCUGCCAGUAUCUGUACCCCAGGUUGCCUCUAGGUAGCCCAUUCAUAGGACUACAAAAAGAGCACUCAAGACAAGUAUCAAACAUGGUUUUCCAACGGCGUCUAGCAAUUUCUAGAAUUAUGACUUUCAUAGAAGAUUCCUACGUAAUAAAUAUCACUUUUACCACAUGACCAGUUUUAAUGAAAAAUAUAAGAUAAUUACAAGACCUUUGUUUACAGGUGAGGAGAUAAGGCUGCAGUGGCUCAAUAGCCUAUGCAUCACCACACAGCCCAAAAUGAGGUAGCCCAAGUAAGCCCUGAGCAUCUCUGUGAGAGGCCUACCACCUGACCACUUUCUCCUCCAUAUUCAUGGGAAGAUCAAUAUAAAGGCUAUUGGAAAAGAUAAGAACCAGAAUUAUUCUUACCUCAACCCUUUUAUCAGCAAAAAUAUAGAAUUUUUUUUCUGUUUAUAUAUUUAAGACCAUAUUUCAAGAAAGUGUUUUAUAAACACAUUCAAACAAUCAUGAACUGAGCUAGAUGUAACCACAAUUUAUGGAGAUUUACAACCAUGAGAUGCCUUUUAAGUUGAGCUCUGUCAUUGCAGUGGCAAACUGCAACCUGGAAGCAGAAAGUGACUUAACAAGAGCAACCUCCACCCUUGACAGAGCAAAUAAACCUUGUAAUUUCUGCUGUGCAUAAUGCCUGGCCCAGAGUAGUCUAUUAAAAAUGAUUGUCAGUAAUAGUCCAUUGUGCAUAUAUACCACAGUUUCUUUGUCCAUUCAUCUAUUGAAGGGCAUCUAGGUUGCUUCCACAGUUUAGCUAUUGUGAAUUGAGGUACUAUAAACAUUGAUGUGGCUUUGUCCCUGUAGUAUGCUGAUUUUAAAUCCUUUGGGUAUAGGCCAAGGAGUGGGAUAGCUGGAUCAAAUGGUGGUUCCAUUCCAAGUUUUCUUUUUUUUUUAAUUUUUAUUGUUGGUUGUUCAAAACAUCACAUAGUUCUUGACAUAUCAUAUUUCACACUUUGAUUCAAGUGGGUUAUGAACUCCCAUUUUUACCCUGUAUACAGAUCGCAGAAUCACAUCGGUUACACAUCCACUGAUUUACAUAUUGCCAUACUAGUGUCUGUUGUAUUCUGCUGCCUUUCCUAAUCCUCUACUAUCCCCCCUCCCCUCCCCUCCCCUCUCUAUACNAAUAGCUGGGUCAAAUAGUGGUUCCAUUCCCAGCUUUCCAAGAAAUCUCCAUACUGCUUUCCAAAUUGGCCGCACCAAUUUGCAGUCCCACCAGCAAUGUACAAGUGUACCCUUUUCCCCACAUCCUCGCCAGCACUUGUUGUUGUUUGACUUCCUAAUGGCUGCCAAUCUUACUGGAGUGAGAUGGUAUCUUAGGGUGGUUUUGAUUUGCAUUUCUCUCACUGCUAGAGAUGGUGAGCAUUUUUUCAUGUACUUGUUGAUUGAUUGUAUGUCCUCCUCUGAGAAGUGUCUGUUCAGGUCCUUGGCCCAUUUGUUAUUUGUUUUCUUAUUGUUUAAUUUUUUGAGUUCUUUGUAUACUCUGGUAUAGCGAUACCAGAUUUCAAACUAUACUACAGAGCAAUAGUAACAAAAACAGCAUGGUACUGGUACCAAAACAGGUGGGUGGACCAAUGGUACAGAAUAGAGGACACAGAAACCAAUCCACAAAAUUACAACUAUCUUAUAUUUGAUAAAGGGGCUAAAAGCAUGCAAUGGAGGAAAGAUAGCAUCUUCAACAAAUGGUGCUGGAAAAACUGGAAAUCCAUAUGCAACAAAAUGAAACUGAAUCCCUUUCUCUCGCCAUGCACAAAAGUUAACUCAAAAUGGAUCAAGGAGCUUGAUAUCAAAUUAGAGACAGGGCGUCUGAUAGAAGAAAAAGUCAGCUAUGAUCUACAUACUGUGGGGUCGGGCUCCAAAUUCCUCAAUAGGACACCCAUAGCACAAGAGUUAAUAACUAGAAUCAACAAAUGGGACUUACUCAAACUAAAAAGUUUUUUCUCAGCAAAAGAAACAAUAAGAGAGGUAAAUAGGGAGCCUACAUCCUGGGAACAAAUCUUUACUCCUCACACUUCAGAUAGAGCCCUAAUAUCCAUUCCAAGUUUUCUAAGGAAUCUUCACACUGCUUUCCAGAUUGGUUGCACCAAUUUGCAGUCCCACCAGCAAUGUAUGAGUGUGCCUUUUUCCCCCACAUCCUCGUCAACACUUAUUGUUUGUAUUCUUGAUAACUGCCAUUCUGACUGGUGUGAAAGUAUUAAAAGAGAAAAAACUUAUGGCAUUUGCAAGUAAAUGAAUGGAGUUGGAGAAUAUCAUACUAACAAAGUAAGCCAAUCCCCCAAAACCAAAAGCCCAAUGUUCUCUGUGAUAAGUGGAUGCUGAUCCAUAAUGGGGGAGAGGAGCAUAGGAAAAAAUGGAGGAACUUUGAUUGGGUAAAGGGUAGGGAGGAGUGAGAAGGGGGUUUGGGAGCAGGAAAGAUGGUGGAAUGAGAUGGACAUCAUUACCCUAGGUACAUGUAUGACUGCAUACAUGGUGUGAUGUUACAUCGUGUACAACCAGAUAAAUGAAAAGUUGUGCUGCGAUUCUGUACAUUGAAUCAAGAUGCAUUCUGCUGCCAUAUAUACUUAAUUAAAAUAAGUUAAUUAAUUAAUAGUAAAAAAUAAAUAAAAACAAAAAAAAAGGAAAGCAUUUCACUAAGUAUCUCUGAUGUUAGCGGUUGGUUGUUUGACUUACUUGGGAGCAGAUGUGGCAAUAAAGUUUUCCUUAAUAUCUUUUUGCCCUGUUUGAAUUUCAUGCUAAGCACAUAUACUGCCAAUUUAUUUUUUUAAUACAAACAUUAAAAAGAAUUAUUGUCAGAUUAAUGGAAUCAGGCCAAAAAUUGAACUACACCACAAACCCCAAUUCAGAGUAGAACUUGGGCUUGGACUCGAUUAGUAGGAGGGUUUCCAAGUUUUGUGCAGAAUCAAACAUCACCCACUGCAAGGCAUGCAUGAGAUGAACAUGCCAUUGCAGUCUUCCCUGGGUAUGGUUAGAUCCUGCAGUGUGUCUUAUACUUUACCCUCUAGGAAAAAUGAAAACUAUCUAAUAUAUUUUUUUUCUAAUUGAGGGGGAUACAUGGAUCUGAGAAAACAUUGUAAUGCAAAUUGACUAGGACAGAAGAAGUUUUGAAAAAUUAUUAUAACCUCUUGGCAUAAAAGAAUAGUGAGUGUGGAGGUUGUCCCAGAUGAAUAAACAUGGGAGACCUAGAGAAAUACUUGGAGAAAGAAAAUGUCUGAAAAAGAUGAGGCUGAGCAUUGGUUCAUUCUCAUGUAAAGUCUCUCGGUCCAGAAAAUACAGAAUUUAGCAACUAUAUGUAAAAUCCACCACUGAACAAUUACCUGGGAGACUGUAAAAAGCAUGCUGGUGGUGACUGUGGUUCCCCAAUUCAUAAUAAUGAAUGAAGAACCAAAGGUCAUUUAUUGAUUGAGAUGGCUCUGAUUGUCUACUACUGUGCAAUUCCCAGAAGGCACAAUAGUAGGUAGCUGAGUCUUCUUUCUCUACAUUGUGAAUGGUGAGGGUAGACGUAGAUGUCUCAGGUAUCUUGUCCACCUCAAAUUUGCCCACUGUAAUGCCUGGUUCCAGGUUGACAGUGUCAUCAGCUGAAAUGAACAGUAGGUGCUUCAGGGGAUGGCCAGGUUUUUCCUGAUACCAGUAUAUGGACAUGGCAUAAAUAGUUACUCCAGACAAGAUACACUCCAGGCGCGCUGUUUUGGAGAGGGUUUUAGUAAUGGAAGGAUGAGGUUGCUCCAGGUGACGUGCACCAUACACAUACACUGAAAAGAAAGAAGUUGCAGUAAAUAAAACAAACUCUUGGGAUUUUAUAAAAAAUACAAAAUUAGAGAACAUCAGUCAAAAGUAAGUAAACAAAACUUACAAACUCCAAGGAUGGCCAGAGCCACUGCUGGCUUCAGUGACAGCAUGACUGAAGACUGUGCUCUCCUCUGGGGCAGCCAGUUUUCACUGAGAAGAGGCUCAGACUCCUGUGGUUUAGUGGCGAGUCAAGGAGACAAACUCCCCACUGAGCAGGUGAAAUGGGCCUCCCCAUGCAGCUCUCCUGCCUCUUCCUGAAGGGGGUCCCCAACACCUAUUAGCACUUCCACUCUGUGACGAUAGGAAUUCAAGGUCCACACCUUAUGUCAGAUCAUGGAGCACAGAUGGCAUCUCUGAACGGUGAGACGACCCACUUACACAGUUGGUAUUCAUGCAGCUCCCACUGUGGGCAAGGGAUGGGGUUUAGGAAAAGAGAUUCAGUGGUAUGACCUCUGACCACAGAGCUGACUAACAGAGAGAUGGCAUGAGUCACAGCCAUGGGCAAGGAUGUGUUCUUUUUCUCUUUCAUUUUUUUUUUGGUGGGGGAGGGGAUUGAACUCAGGGGCACUCAACCACUGAGCCACAUCUGCAGCCCUGUUUGUAUUUUAUUCAGAGACAGGGUCUCACUGAGUGCUUAGCACCUCGCCAUUGCUGAGGCUGGCUUUGAACUUUCAAUCCUCCUGUCUCAGCCUUCUGAGCCACUGGGAUUACAGGCGUGCACCAUCGUGCCCAGCUUUUUCUUUCUUUUAAUGGACUCAGUAUCUUUCACAAAGUAGAUCUUCAAUAACCCCACCUGUCAGGCCAUGGUGGCGGGUGGUCAGGCUGUGCUGUGUAUCAUUUGCCCACAAAGAGUGUAUCUUCACUCAGCUGGAGACUCUGGAUCAUCAGUCCACUGACCCCUGUUCAGCUACUCCCAUAUCCUACAGUUUAGGGUCACCUCACUCCACAGAUCUUCAUAUUCCAUUCCUGGUGACUGACUUUUGUUGAAGUGUGAAGUUCAUGUCCUCUCCCAGCUACUGAGCUAUACAUCUCUACUAAACCCUAGCUUCCCCUAGAGGGGGGAAGCCAUAUUCCCUCUUUAUGGAUUACUGAGCUUGCUUUCUCUGUGUCACUUCCCAACCCAACAUAUUUCGUGAGUGCUGGAGUAUUUAUACAAAAUGCUUAAAGGGGGUGGUUGUGUAGAUUUCUGUUCUUACUUUAUCUACUCUGCCUGAGUGGUUGCUCCCCAUUGGUGGCUUUAAUUAUCCUAGAGGGGAGGAGAGAAGGAAUGAUGGGGACAUUACUCCUCCAUUGCCAGCCCACUCUUGUUUCCUGGGCUCCAUGUGCACAUCUCCAGCUCAGACAGCUACAGGUUUGUUUACACAGGACCUCAAAGUGAAAGUUAACAAAGACAGAGUGAACUCUUCCUCUAAUGAAAAACAUUUCCCUAAAUAAGGGAACACCGUUGUCCAAGCCAGGGUCCUGAGUGUAAGCCUGAAUUCUCUCCUCUAACUAAUUUUUUACACUUCAAUUGCUGUGGAUUCUUCUACUCAAACAUUUCCUGGCUCACCCUGCAUCCAACGCUUCUUUGCCUUGCCACCAACAUGGUCCCUCCGUCCCGAUUUCUCCAUCACCUGGGGACUGAACUGACCUAGUCACUUCCCUGCUUAGGAUUCUCCAUCUUGCUCUACUCUGCUUCUGAGGAUCAAGUCAGAGCUGUUAGGACCUGAGGUCCCUAUGUGGUAACCACCUGUUCCCUUCCCUCUGUCUUCAGCCACUCUCUCCCCAGAAUCACAUGAUCCAAAUCUAUAGAUUGAUUGGCAGUUUUCCUCUCUGGACCACUGUAUAUCCCACACUUCUUGCUGAACUCCUCUUCAUGUUUGGGCUCAACUUAACACUGAAUCCUCCAGGAAGCUUCUCACCUAGGAGGAAGUCAGGGGUGAAUGUGCCUCCAAUUGCUUUCUAGUGGCGCCACCUCGUGUCUCCCUCUCUCAUAGCCAUUCCUGCCUAAAUCUUGGCCUGCUUAUUCAUUGUUCUCUCAGACUCAUCAGGCAAUCACUAGCAGAGGAGUGAGACCAUAUCUUGUAUUUCUUAUAUUCCCAGGUGUUUGUAGAAUAGGAGAAAGAAUGAAAUAAUGAGUGGAAGAGUGAACAUUGAAGUAUUUCUCCUCUUGCUGAUAUCAGUGAAAGAUCACCAUUUAAAGUAUAAUUUGUAAAGAAGAGUUACCAAGUACUUAAAGCCUUUAAAGUACUUUGUAGCCACUAUCAUAUUGAACUCCAAAAUUUUAAUGUAAUUCCAUGGGGCCUGAUGGGAAUCAAAUAUAGAAAAGGCUCAAGGUUUAAUACCUUGUCCCUGACAGAUUUGAGAUUGGUUCUAUCUAGCUACAAAGCCUGUGCCAUUUGAAUUCCUCCCUCUCCUUUUUCUCAUUUAUCUAGUGAGAAUAAAAUCAGGACCCACUUUAUUAGAUAUUUUUGAAACAUAAAUAAGUUAGCCCAGGUAGAGGGUUUGCAGCAGUGCCUAACACACAGUGAGCCCUCAGAAACUGGUUCCUGGCAGACUCUGCCAUGCUGCCUUCAAUGAACAUGCCCAGGUGAGCAUCAGAAGCACACCAGUCCUGCUCCUGUCACACUGACUCCCUCCCGUAGAGACAGGCCAGCAUCAAGGCUCCCAGAAUCAAGUGACAGUGAGAGUGAAAGAAUUUGGGACCACUCCUUAGAAAUAAAAUUUUGAAACGUUGUCAUGAUUAUCCUAAAGGUGAGAAUCUUGUUCGGUAAGGAAGUGAGUGAGGAGUUUGUCCCUCCUAAUGUCUAGGUGCCCCAUCACAGCCAAUUCUCAGGAUUCACUCCUAUCUGGAGCCAGGUUCUGGGAGAGGUGCAGGGCCUAUCCUCCUGUGCCCAUCCACUUUCAUCAGCACAAAGGAGAACAAGAAAUGAAGAGAAAAAGCUGAGAACAAAAGGAAAGUAGGACUUGACCCCCCUUUACCCAUCCCCUCUCCCACCUGGACUUGGGGGUUCACUAGAGGGGACUAAUAUGUGGCCUUUGCAGAAGCCAGGCAUAUUUUUAACUAUAAAUCUCCAGCCACAAACAUCUGAAGUUGAGAGAGAAACUAUGAAUUAAGGAAUCUGAGGAAUCAGUUUCUCUCAGAAUCAUUUGAACUUUCCAAACAUUAAUGUUUUUAUGUUAUUGAUUUAAUGAGGAAGUCAUAUAUACAUGUUGACUCUUCCAUUGAAAGAAGAGUCAACAUGUAUAUAUUCAGCUUAGAAUUUAAAGAGCCUUUUGCUAUUUUUCUUCCACACAUAGAGCAGCAUAGGGAUUUUCUAUUUGGUGCUGGAUCAUUGGAACACAGGUUUUCUUCCUUUUAUUCAUUUAUUUUUCUUUUAUGGAACUUGGCUUCUUUAUAGGAAGAUAGUGGACAUAGUGAUAUCUUAUUGAAAUGACUUGGAUUUAAUGCAGAAAUUAUAUUCACAUUUAGUCAAACUCCUAUAUAUUUCAAAUGAGUAAACAAAAAUCAGAGAAGCUGGGGUGCUUCCACAUCCCACAUUUGAGUGAUGUUCAAGGACAGGGAGCAAUGAAAGGGUCCAAGGUCUCUUCCAGGGUUUAUCUCAUCCCCCACAUGAUGACCAUCUUGUAACAUCAGUUCUGGUGCAAGCUCUGGAUGAGGGUGCUGAACAUGGGUAAUGUUGUUUUCCAAACUUCCAAUUAUUGGCUCUACUGCCACAUAAGAUCAGUCAGUGGGUACAAAAUGAGGAAGCUGGAGAGGUGCAGAUAAUUUCAGAUUCUGAAAUUAUCAGUUUCUAAUAAUUGGACUCUAUCUGAUAGAAAUUGAUGGGAAUUAGUAAGUUCAGCCACAAAAGUAAAAUUGUUAUGGGGUUUAUUGAAAAAGUUAAAGGAAACAGGUAAAGCUAGAUAUAGGGCUAUUGUCAUUAAGUCCAAGAUAUCCUAAAUAUAAUCAUUUUAACAUUCAAGAAGCUAAAAAGUUAUUGAUGAGUUAUUUUACUUUCUCCCAGUAUCCCAUCAAUAUACAGUGUUUAUUUUAGAACUAGUGUCCAUUCCAACUUGGAUUAUUGCAGUACCUACUUUCAAAUACUCAAUAACUUCAUCAAGCCAGGGACACCUGGAUUGAUCAGCACUUUAGCCCGCAACCAGCACCGGCUUCAUGAAUGAAGGUUUGAAACCUGAGAAAUCUCUAGGGAGUUUUGAAUUAAAGAGACAGACUCUAAUUACCUUUAAACCAGCUCCAGGAUCGCUCCUCCUAGCUCCAGCCUCCAGCCACCUAUUAUUGUAGCAAGGUUUACUGAAGAGGCUAGUGAGAGAGAGAGAACAUGCCAGGGAGUAGACUUUUAUUGGGGAACAAAAAAUUCUGGGGAAAAUCCCAUCCAAUGAAGAUUAAGGAGGGGCAGCAUCCCAAGGUCAGGGGCGACAAUUGGGUCUUUGGGGUAGUGGCCAGACACGCCUCCACAUGGACAAGCCAUAGGACCUGAGAAGGGUGGGGAAAGCUCUGGACACAUGAUGUUCCUAAGUGCCUCUCACCCAGCCAGGGAGGAAACUCAAAUCACAUGAGAGGAUGCCUCCCACACAGCACAGCUUCUCUUUCCAGUACAGUAGAAAUGCUGAACGAAGAACCUUUGAAAGGCCCCUUUUGACUGAAUUGUUUCUCAAGUCUGCAUCAGGCUAAGAGCUCACUUCUCUUUAGUCAUAUCAUUUUACCUGAAUUGAAAGAACAAAGAGGGACAUCUCAGAAAACCCAGGAGGUAAACAGAGGACAAAUUUUGUUUUUACUUGCAUGAGACAGGGAAACCCAAGAGACCAAGAGUCAGUGAACAUGGCCAGGCAGGAUCAGGGAGUAAGAGACCUUUUUGUGCAGGAUCUUGCUUAGCACACAGGGCUGUGCUGGUCCCAGGCUGCACAAUAGUACAUGCCCUCCUCACUCUUCCCCAGGUUCAGCACCAAAAGGGAACAGCUAUUGCCAUUGUUGUUGUUCAAGCCUGUGAUUUUAUCUGCUUUCAGAAUUGAAUCCCAAUGCACAUCCUUCCUGGACACACCCAUCCUGAGAAGGUUCUGGGGGGCUUGGCCCUCCUGCUGCCCGUACCAGUGGAUGUAGCUGACCCUCAUGUGGACCAAGCACUGCAGAAAGACAGAGCUUCCCUUGUGUCCCAGGACCUAGGCUGGCUGCUCCAGUUGGAUGAAUGAAUGACCAGCUGCAAGGGAGAGAGCAGUGAGGUAGGGGCAGACCGAGUCAGGCAGUCUCUGAAAACUUCACCACGAAAGAAGGUGGGGGACUUACCUGGAAACAGGAGAGCCCACAGGAGGGUGAGAUAGCCCAGCAUGGCUCUAUGUUGUGACUAGGGUGACAGUGGCCAGGGUGAAUGCUUGUGUCAAACUGCUGCCAAGAGCCACAGCUUGGUGGUGAUGGUGGUGGUAGGGAGCAGGGUAGGGCGGGAAGCAGCAGCUCAGGCCCUAAUUGGUAAUUGGCGAGAGAAAUGGGGAAGAGGGGAAGACAGAGGACAGACAGAAAACUAACCACAAGGUGAAGGGAGGAAGGCUGAGUGGUUGGAUUUCUGAGAAACACUUAGAGAACAUUGGCAGAAUAAUAAAAACAACAACACAACGGGGAUUGCUGGGGACACCUGCAUUCUAGCACCUUAAGUAUUGAUUUAUGGCCAUUGUUUAUUAAAUCAUGAAAAUAAUCCAGUGUUACCCAAAUUAUUACUUUCAGAUUAGAAGUGUAGAAAGUGAGGCUGUUAUUUUUAGGAACUUGUCAAAAGCUGGACACCUGAGGGAAUGAGGAUGGAACAUGAAGAUAGGUCUGGCUGGAGACCAAGUAGACACUUUACCCUCAUAGAACCAUGAGUGUGCUGCUUACUUUGGAGGAAGAGACAAACACUGAAAGGCAAACUCUGCCAAAUACACAUGCUUCCCUUCAGUGUUGUCACUGGAGCUUGUCACCCAGAGGUCCUGUGGAAGAAUUUCAGUCCCUUAAAGAGCACAACAGCUCUGUUGUUUCUCUUCCUUUUCUUCCUCCAUGGUGAGGGACAUCAUGGGUUGCCAGAGGACUGACUAAAAGGGAUCAUGUGAGCAAUGCAUUUGCCACAGUCUCAGAUGCAUAGAAAAUAUGCAAGGAUAUGAGGUAUUAUUAGUCCGCCUCACCCUGGAUGGAGUUCAGUAGUUGUUCUCCGUUCUCUGGAGACUUGGUGUGAAAUAGAAAUGAUGGUUUUAGAGGUGUGUGUGUGUGUGUGUGUGUGUGUGUGUGUGUGUGUGAGCGCACGCGCGCACACGUGCAUGUGCAUAUGAGAAGGAAGAAGCCUACAUUGGACCAAGGACCAGAACCUAGAGGCAGGCCCAGGUCACUCCAGGAUCAUGAGAUUCCUAGAUGUUGGGAAGAACAUCGAAGGGGUCACACAUCUGCAUUGAAGCUUGGAGAAACAGACCUGGCUUUGACUCCAGGGGAAAUGGAAGUCUAUUUUCAGUUACGCUAAUUACACCUAAGGAUCUUCUAAGUAGUCAGGCAGAUGGCCAUGAGGGAAGGCGGUGGGCAUGGCAGGAAAGGGGGCUUGGCCCUAAGGGAAGUUAUGGGUCUUUGAGGUUCCACGCCAGAUCCGGCUCCUGAGCUCCUCUUCUGUGGUAGAGCCAGGCUUGCUCAGUGCAACCAAAGUUUCCAGUGUCCCCAGAACCAGGCUUCAGGUUGUACGGAGUUGGUGACCUGCUCGUCAAACAUAAAGGAAAUAGAAAAUUUUGAAGAAUGAUAUUUUGGUACCCCCAUAUAUACCCUCUCUCGACAUCUAGUACUGCUAUAGUUAAGAGUUAGGAAGUGACAGCUAUGCCAUCUCCACAUGAAAAACAGUUAGAAAGAGUCACAGUGGAGACCAUGAGCAAUGUGGUGGUGGGAAAAUGGCCAAAUCACUUGCUUUCUAUUUUUAUUUUUUUUCCAGCUUUUCAACAGCAAGAUGACAUUAUUGGGGGGUUGUGUUUGUAACCACUAUUUUAUGAAAAUAAAUUUUAUUUUGUGUUGUCAACACUCAAAAUUUUGUCUCUCAGUUGUUAUUGUGACCGUUUUAAUCAGCUACUGCUCAUUAAAACUUGAAAAUCAUUUGCAAUUGACAAAAAUAAAUUUUAAUAAAAUCACCCAUAAAUCUGCAGCCCC
Molecule: long non-coding RNA, 21907 nt
Filed under: Marmota monax (woodchuck)
Lineage: Eukaryota; Metazoa; Chordata; Mammalia; Rodentia; Sciuridae
Source: RNAcentral